RNAcentral lists this long non-coding RNA (376 nucleotides) under Homo sapiens (human). RNAcentral's name for it is "HSALNT0239234". The record is from RNAcentral. Lineage: Eukaryota; Metazoa; Chordata; Mammalia; Primates; Hominidae.
GCCCCGCCCGGCCCCAACGGCCCCAACUCCCGUCUCCUCCCAGUCCCCCGGAGCCGACCAGUGGUGGCGGCAGCCCCAGGUCCCGGGUCCCUCAGACAAAAAGGCGGGUGGAGGAGGAGUAGCCGAGCCCAGAGUCCUGCUCCGGCGCCGCCGAGCACCGCCCGCCUCAGCCGACCAGCCCCGUCGGCUACUGGGCCUAGCCUAGAGGAGAGGAGGGAAAGGCCGCGGAGGCCGCGAGGAGACGGCUGGGGCGCCAGCGGCCGGCUGCCGCCUAGUUGUGCUGCCCGGACCAAGGAAGGAGAAGUGGGAGGAGCGGGGAGCUCAGCGGCUCAGGACGACGACGCUCGCCACAUCCGGGACCCUCCGGCCGUGGCGG